UCAAUUGAAGGCUAUGUUCUACUAUGUUUCUUGUUUGAGAAACUUAGGUCUUCUAAGAUCACAAGUUGCAAUUAAUCCAACAUUCAGAUUCCCUUCUUUUAGGCUUAUAUUUUCUCCUGCUGGAUAAAUCCAUCCUCUUUUUAUCACAAAAUAUUUUACUUGAUCAGUGCAAUAUAAAGAACCUACAGAUGUUAGCUCCUUAUGAGAUGGCUUUCCUUUAUCUUUCUUCAGAUUUUAUUGAUUAUGUUUCUUUUAUGUUACAAUUUUUGCUACUAAAGGGAAAAUAUUGGAUUAUGUGUAUCCAUUCAUCUAUUAUAUAAGCCUGAACCUAUACAUGCCUUUGACAUUUAUGAUUUCCAUUUAAUCCUUUUGGUGUUUGCUUCCAUUGUCACCAUGUAUAAUUUUGUCUAGAAGGUGAAAGAAAGGAAAAAUAUAGAAAGCAUCUUUUCUACAUCAACAGGUUUAAUUGCUAAUGAAUGUCAUACAAAAAGUAAAAAGGAAAUUCAGAUAAAAUUGGUUUCAUAUAUAUUCCUAUGAUCUUCAACCAAGAUAAGUCUGAAUUUUUAACUUUGAAAAAUCUUCCCUAACUUUGUCUAUAUGUAAGCUCCACAUCUUUGGUACAACAUUGACAAAAUACUUGUUGGAUCCACUGAAAGCUUUUGAUGCUUCGUUCUGUCUCCAUCUUCUGAGCCAUGGCAAGCACUGUUGCCUUAUUGUUUCAAUCUCUCUACUUUCUGGAUAGAGUACUUCAGCUCCUGUUGAAUGUUUAACCUUGAAGGCGACAGGACAAUGUCCUUCCAAACUGAUCCCUUUUGACAAGCUGGAUUAGGGUUUUUGUAGAGUUCGUAUAUGGAAGUCGCUCUGUCAUUCAAACUUGCCACCCUUUUUAAGCAAUCAAUUUCAUCUGGAUCAACCAGCAAGAUGGUGGGAGCAAGCUCUUAACAGGUCUUGUGGGGUUCACGUUGCAAGGCCUAAUUACAGCAAUCCAAGCAUGGUAUCAAAUUGUAAGUUUAUUACUAUGAUAAUUUCUGAGCCUGAACCAAGAAACUCCCGACUUUUUUGAGUUUCCUUAAGUGAAAUUGUGCAGGUACAUAUGCUAUUGUUUAAACAUUGAAUUCCAUGUCUUGAAGUCUUAGUUGAGCAUGUUUUGAAGGUUGUUGUUACCGGAAAGGAAGAUAAACUAAGAGAAGGGAUAGCAGGUGUACCUUAGGUGGUCCUUCCAACGUAUUAGUGCUAUACAGUCUAGCAUUGUCAACUAGUUGGCAAUAUGUUUUAAAUGCCUCUGAAAAUCUCUUGUGGGAUUUCAAUUGUGCGUUUACUCGAACAGCUCUUCUACACAUGAUAGCUCGCCUGUCAUGGUUGAGGAUGCCAACUUUUAUGCAUCAGUAUCUCAAGAGGACAUGCUUUGCAUUUGCUUGGUAAAGUUUGAAGGUGCAAACAAAUGUAAGAAAUAAAUGAUAUAGUUGACCAGGACUCUACCUUAUUCCUCUUAUAACAGCCAGAUAAGCAUCACACACAACUCCAACAAGCUCUAUCCUGUAUGGUUUUCUCUUUCUGCCCCCUUCUACUUGUUCUGGUUCUUCAUCUUCAAUUCGUUCCCAAUAGUUUUCAGUGACAGUUCCAUCAUCAUUCACCCUGUAACCAGCUCCCAUGCGAUAACGGCGGCGGUGGACAUUUCUGGCCAUUGUUACAGUCUGAACAACAAAUGGUACCCAAGAGAGUGUGCCAUCCAUGAUCACAUCUCGCCCUUCGUUAAGUGCUGUGACCAGAAGGGAUGAUGCUGCGUCUGUAGAUGAUUGGUGUACCUGUUUUAUAUUUGGCCUUGUUACUUAUGAGCCAUCAACUAUUUCAAUGAACGAUGCCAAGGAAACAGGAGAUGGGUGCUGAAAGGAGAAGAUUGAGAAUUGGGUUGUGCUUCAUUGAAGAUAAUCUGAGAGAGUUGAUAUGUACCAGUUCAGCUGUUUGAAGCAUGUCGUGAUGCCCUCUGGAGCUGAGAGCUCUGUAUAUGACAUCCGAUUCUUUGAAGGCAUCUGCUUCAAUCACUACUGCAUUCCCUGCUGCUCCUGCCCAGAAUGGCCUGCGGACACAUUUCAUCCAGAAAGAUUAUGUUAGAUACUUGCUUCUCUUAACAUUCUACAUAUUAUAUAUUGUUACUAGAUGAUGAGUGAAUUCAAGCACAUUAUGCUUUCUCA
Rosa chinensis is the source of this 2192-nucleotide long non-coding RNA. RefSeq lists it as uncharacterized. NCBI's taxonomy places the organism in Eukaryota, Viridiplantae, Streptophyta, Magnoliopsida, Rosales, Rosaceae. The record is from RefSeq and is a predicted model, not a curated record. The transcript has 2 exons.